Molecule: ribosomal RNA, 300 nt
Filed under: uncultured Propionibacterium sp.
Lineage: Bacteria; Bacillati; Actinomycetota; Actinomycetes; Propionibacteriales; Propionibacteriaceae
Description: bacterial SSU rRNA
Rfam family: Bacterial small subunit ribosomal RNA
Source: RNAcentral
CACGUGAGUAACCUGCCCUUGACUUUGGGAUAACUUCAGGAAACUGGGGCUAAUACCGGAUAGGAGCUCCUGCUGCAUGGUGGGGUUGGAAAGUUUCGGCGGUUGGGGAUGGACUCGCGGCUUAUCAGCUUGUUGGUGGGGUAGUGGCUUACCAAGGCUUUGACGGGUAGCCGGCCUGAGAGGGUGACCGGCCACAUUGGGACUGAGAUGCGGCCCAGACUCCUACGGGAGGCAGCAGUGGGGAAUCUUAGACAAUGGGGGAAACCCUGAUCUAGCCAUGCCGCGUGUGUGAUGAAGGCC